CUCAGGGAUGAGUUCUCGUGCUCAUCCGACGAGGCCUCCAUAGAUCUUGAGGAGGGAGCCUCCUAUGACCCACCGCUGAAAAGGGCAGUUAAGCCCCUGCAAGCCGGGGAACCGGUGACGGCGGACUUGCUUAAAGCCAUGUUUGCGGACCUGCGAAAAGACCUGGCCGCUGACAGGGCCCACUACAACACCGCCAUAGAAGGCGUCAAGGCCAAAGCCACACAACUCGAAGCCACCUCCAAUGUCCAUGAUGCCCGAAUCACGCAGGUGGAGCAGUCACUGGCAGACCUCCAAGACAGGCAACUAGCUGCUGAAAAUCGAGUAAACUCACUCGAAGACCAAAGACGACGAUACAAUUUAAAAGUUAGAGGCAUACCGGAGACCGUAGGCCUCAAGGACUUACCCCACUUCAUCAGACGCCUGUUUGAAGCUUUGAUGUUGCCCAAACAGGCCAAGGCCCUAAAGCUAGACGGGAUGUUCCGGCUUCCCAAGCCUGCACAGGUACCACAAACAACACCGGCGGACCUCAUCCUCCGCUUCCAAAACCUCCAGGACAAGAACACCUUCUCAGCCACAAUAAAAGGGAAAACCCCC
This is a non-coding RNA of Pelobates cultripes (western spadefoot toad), 594 nucleotides long. Lineage: Eukaryota; Metazoa; Chordata; Amphibia; Anura; Pelobatidae. The record is from the annotation of a GenBank genome assembly.